CCUCCUAGUUAAUUCUUCUUUCUUUAACUUCUUUAUUAAUCUAUCUAGUUAUUUAUGUUAUCAAAUCUAGCUAAUCUCUUUUCGGUGAGUGCCCAUGUCCAGCCCACUUGCGUGUCCGUUGCAACAACUUAUCCGGUUGUGUAGCUAAAAAAUAGGAGUAGAAGACAACAAAAUAUGUCGAGCGCAGGCGAAGCUUCUCGUCGGAUCCAACAUGCACAGCUGUCCAUCUCUCCACCCCUAUCUUCUCAUCCUCAUUCCCAAUUCCUUCCUCUCUUCUCUCUGUCCACUCCAAUCUUCCACUUAAUGGUCGCCGCUGCUUCAAGGCCUCCCCGCAGAGCUCUCGAUCUAGAUCUCAGAUCGAGGCCACCACCAAGCCCCUCGACCACCUCCUCCUUCCUUCACCGGCUCAGCUCCCUCUGGCGCGCGCCGCUCCACCUGAGCUCCAGAAGCACACAACGAGCCUCGCUACUGCUGCCACCACGACCGUCAUCGCGCCGCCACCGUCAUCUCCAAGUUCUCCAGCCGGUGGCAAACAUCUCCCCUGCGACUGGUGCCACCACCCUCUGCCUCACCUCCAUCAUGCUUGAGGACAAUGACGGCAUGGCUGCCGUCGACCCGUCCCGGGCCCCUCGUCUCGCUCGUGUGGGGCGCACCUGCGCAUGGACCAUCGGUCGAGCAAGCCGCCCUCGCCAGCGGGAGCGCCGGUGCCGCUCGCCGAAAGCAUCUGAUGGGGGCCUAGACGUUGCUCCGAUGGCGACUGGGUGCCCUCUUUGCAUUCAUUUCUUAUCCCGAUCUACCAUCUGAGUCAAUUGUAAAUCGUCACCCCAGACGCUGCUAGUUGUGCUAAUCCACUCUCUCUCUCUCUCUCUCGAUCCCCACUUCCCCUCGUCUCGUCCAUGGCGCCUGCAUCUGCCGCGUCGUUGUUCUGCUGGGUAGGACUAUUAAUUGGAACAUACGAUGAAAUAGCAAACGUACAAAGCACGAGCUCCUAGCACUGGAGAAGGCCUAGCCAGGCGACCAAAAGACAAGCGAAUCGUUGAAUUGUUUUUUCUCUCACUUAUUUCUAGACUGCGCUUUUAUUUCCAUAGAAGCCAAGGUUUUUUUUUGUAAAACAUGCCUGAUGACGAACGACAAAAACCUAAUUUGAAUUAUUAUUAUA
Triticum aestivum (bread wheat) is the source of this 1159-nucleotide long non-coding RNA. RefSeq lists it as uncharacterized. The transcript has 2 exons. The record is from RefSeq and is a predicted model, not a curated record. Lineage: Eukaryota; Viridiplantae; Streptophyta; Magnoliopsida; Poales; Poaceae.